RNAcentral lists this ribosomal RNA (501 nucleotides) under uncultured bacterium. RNAcentral describes it as "partial 16S ribosomal RNA". It matches the Rfam family "Bacterial small subunit ribosomal RNA", at positions 30 to 523 of the family's 1533-position model. The record is from RNAcentral.
AUUGAACGCUGGCGGCAGGCUUAACACAUGCAAGUCGAGCGGGGAAGGGUAGCUUGCUACCUAACCUAGCAGCGGACGGGUGAGUAAUGCUUAGGAAUCUGCCAUUUAGUGGGGGACAACAUUCCGAAAGGAAUGCUAAUACCGCAUACGUCCUACGGGAGAAAGCAGGGGAUCUUCGGACCUUGCGCUAAAUGAUGAGCCUAAGUCGGAUUAGCUAGUUGGUGGGGUAAAGGCCUACCAAGGCGACGAUCUGUAGCGGGUCUGAGAGGAUGAUCCGCCACACUGGGGCUGAGACACGGCCCAGACUCCUACGGGAGGCAGCAGUGGGGAAUAUUGGACAAUGGGCGGAAGCCUGAUCCAGCCAUGCCGCGUGUGUGAAGAAGGCCUUAUGGUUGUAAAGCACUUUAAGCGAGGAGGAGGCUACUUAGAUUAAUACUCUAGGAUAGUGGACGUUACUCGCAGAAUAAGCACCGGCUAACUCUGUGCCAGCCGCCGCAGUAA